AGAGUUUGAUCCUGGCUCAGGACGAACGCUGGCGGCGUGCUUAACACAUGCAAGUCGAACGAUGAAGCCUAGCUUGCUAGGUGGAUUAGUGGCGAACGGGUGAGUAAUACGUGAGUGACCUACCUUUGACUCUGGGAUAAGCCUGGGAAACUGGGUCUAAUACCGGAUACGACCAAUCUCCGCAUGGGGUGUUGGUGGAAAGCGUUAUGGAGUGGUUUUAGAUGGGCUCACGGCCUAUCAGCUUGUUGGUGAGGUAAUGGCUUACCAAGGCGACGACGGGUAGCCGGCCUGAGAGGGUGACCGGCCACACUGGGACUGAGACACGGCCCAGACUCCUACGGGAGGCAGCAGUGGGGAAUAUUGCACAAUGGGCGCAAGCCUGAUGCAGCGACGCCGCGUGAGGGAUGACGGCCUUCGGGUUGUAAACCUCUGUUAGCAUCGAAGAAGCGAAAGUGACGGUAGGUGCAGAGAAAGCGCCGGCUAACUACGUGCCAGCAGCCGCGGUAAUACGUAGGGCGCGAGCGUUGUCCGGAAUUAUUGGGCGUAAAGAGCUUGUAGGCGGUUGGUCGCGUCUGCUGUGAAAGGCUGGGGCUUAACCCCUGGUUUUGCAGUGGGUACGGGCUAACUAGAGUGCAGUAGGGGAGACUGGAAUUCCUGGUGUAGCGGUGGGAAUGCGCAGAUAUCAGGAGGAACACCGAUGGGCGAAGGCAGGUCUCUGGGCUGUAACUGACGCUGAGAAGCGAAAGCAUGGGGAGCGAACAGGAUUAGAUACCCUGGUAGUCCAUGCCGUAAACGUUGGGCACUAGGUGUGGGGGACAUUCCACGUUUUCCGCGCCGUAGCUAACGCAUUAAGUGCCCCGCCUGGGGAGUACGGCCGCAAGGCUAAAACUCAAAGAAAUUGACGGGGGCCCGCACAAGCGGCGGAGCAUGCGGAUUAAUUCGAUGCAACGCGAAGAACCUUACCAAGGCUUGACAUAUACUGGACUGCGUCAGAGAUGGCGUUUCCCUUCGGGGCUGGUAUACAGGUGGUGCAUGGUUGUCGUCAGCUCGUGUCGUGAGAUGUUGGGUUAAGUCCCGCAACGAGCGCAACCCUCGUUCUAUGUUGCCAGCACGUGAUGGUGGGGACUCAUAGGAGACUGCCGGGGUCAACUCGGAGGAAGGUGGGGAUGACGUCAAAUCAUCAUGCCCCUUAUGUCUUGGGCUUCACGCAUGCCACAAUGGCCGGUACAGAGGGUUGCGAUACUGUGAGGUGGAGCUAAUCCCUAAAAGCCGGUCUCAGUUCGGAUUGGGGUCUGCAACUCGACCCCAUGAAGUCGGAGUCGCUAGUAAUCGCAGAUCAGCAACGUUGCGGUGAAUACGUUCCCGGGCCUUGCACACACCGCCCGUCA
This 1388-nucleotide ribosomal RNA is filed under the name uncultured bacterium. RNAcentral describes it as "16S ribosomal RNA". It matches the Rfam family "Bacterial small subunit ribosomal RNA". The record is from RNAcentral.